AUCAGUGGCAUCAGAGGCAGCAUUUUCAACUGGAGAAAGGAUCAUUAGUGACUAUAGAAGUAGACUUUCGAGCAGUACUGUAGAGGCAUUGAUUUGCCUUCAAGAUUGGAUGAGGGCAGAAGGUUUGGGUGAUUUCUUUGCACGUGAUCUUGCUGAGAGUGAUGACCAAAAUGUGCAACAUUCAGGUGAAAAUGCCUAUACACCUCUAGUAACAUGUAGUACCAGCACAACAACCAGCAGCAGGUAAUAUAGAAAAAGACCGGAAGAGCUCAUGGAGUUGGAAGCAGUUGUUUGUCACUUUGUCAAUUGGUACAGUUGGUUUAUCAUGA
Molecule: long non-coding RNA, 329 nt
Organism: Oryza sativa Japonica Group (Japanese rice)
Lineage: Eukaryota; Viridiplantae; Streptophyta; Magnoliopsida; Poales; Poaceae
Source: RefSeq, a predicted model, not a curated record